Molecule: ribosomal RNA, 336 nt
Filed under: uncultured bacterium
Lineage: Bacteria
Description: bacterial SSU rRNA
Rfam family: Bacterial small subunit ribosomal RNA
Source: RNAcentral
AAGUGGAGCAAUCCCUGAGUACAGUGGCGUACGGGUGAGUAACACGUGACUAACCUACCCUCGAGUGGGGAAUAACCUCGGGAAACCGGGGCUAAUACCGCAUAACAUCUUCGGAUCAAAUGCGUAAGCAGCUUGAGGAGGGGGUCGCGGCCGAUUAGCUAGUUGGCGGGGUAAUGGCCCACCAAGGCAAUGAUCGGUAGCCGGCCUGAGAGGGCGCACGGCCACACUGGAACUGAAACACGGUCCAGACUCCUACGGGAGGCAGCAGUGGGGAAUUUUGCGCAAUGGGGGAAACCCUGACGCAGCAACGCCGCGUGGAGGAUGAAGCCCUUUGGG